AAAUAAAUACGUUUGCUACAAAAUUCCCGAUUCGAGUAACUCGACCUUUUUAAAACAAGCAUACAUUUAUAGUCUCAAUUGUGAUUUAAGUACAUGCAUAUUAAAAUUGCUUUUUUGGCUGUUUUGCAAUCUCCACGUUCAUACAAACGGACACACAUACG
This 161-nucleotide small RNA is filed under the name Drosophila melanogaster (fruit fly). RNAcentral describes it as "CR4508". The record is from RNAcentral. Lineage: Eukaryota; Metazoa; Arthropoda; Insecta; Diptera; Drosophilidae.